This 732-nucleotide ribosomal RNA is filed under the name Pseudosperma flavellum. RNAcentral's name for it is "eukaryotic LSU rRNA". The stretch from base 307 to 460 matches the Rfam family "5.8S ribosomal RNA". The record is from RNAcentral. Lineage: Eukaryota; Fungi; Basidiomycota; Agaricomycetes; Agaricales; Inocybaceae.
GGAAGUAAAAGUCGUAACAAGGUUUCCGUAGGUGAACCUGCGGAAGGAUCAUUAUUGAAUAAAYGUGAUGGGUUGUUGCUGGCUCUCCUUGGGCAUGUGCACACUUGUCRUCUUUAUUUCUCCACCUGUGCACUUUUUGUAGGCCCUAGAGAAGUGAUUGUYUGAUAAAAUCAGAUAGAUUGAGGACUGCUGUGUCUUUCAAAGGGACCAGCUUUACCUUGUGUAUCUAGGUUCUAUGUUAUUCACAUACUCCUAUGAAUGUAAUAGAAUGUUGACCUGGGUCUUUGUACCUACAAAGUUAUAUACAACUUUCAGCAACGGAUCUCUUGGCUCUCGCAUCGAUGAAGAACGCAGCGAAAUGCGAUAAGUAAUGUGAAUUGCAGAAUUCAGUGAAUCAUCGAAUCUUUGAACGCAUCUUGCGCUCCUUGGUAUUCCGAGGAGCAUGCCUGUUUGAGUGUCAUUAAAUUCUCAACUACACUGAUUUUGUUGGUGUGGCUUGGAUUUGGGGGAGAAUCAUAUUUAUGUUCUUUGCAGGCUUUGUAAAUGAAGUCAGCUCCCCUGAAAUUGAUUAGCGGUACCUCAGUAGAACUGUCUACAGGUGUGAUAACUUAUCUACACCUUAGAUGUCUGCAUGAAAAGGUUAUGCUGCUUCCUAACCCUCACUCCUUAUUGGGAGCACUAAUGACAAUCUUGACCUCAAAUCAGGUAGGACUACCCGCUGAACUUAAGCAU